UCGGUCCCUAUCUGCCGUGGGCGCUGGAGAAUUGAGGGGGGCUGCUCCUAGUACGAGAGGACCGGAGUGGACGCAUCACUGGUGUUCGGGUUGUCAUGCCAAUGGCACUGCCCGGUAGCUAAAUGCGGAAGAGAUAAGUGCUGAAAGCAUCUAAGCACGAAACUUGCCCCGAGAUGAGUUCUCCCUGAGACUUUAAGUCUCCUGAAGGAACGUUAAAGACGAUGACGUUGAUAGGUCGGGUGUGUAAGCGCAGCGAUGCGUUGAGCUAACCGAUACUAAUGAACCGUGAGGCUUAACCUU
RNAcentral lists this ribosomal RNA (300 nucleotides) under Enterobacter sp. MGH 10. RNAcentral describes it as "bacterial LSU rRNA". It matches the Rfam family "Bacterial large subunit ribosomal RNA", at positions 2631 to 2925 of the family's 2925-position model. Lineage: Bacteria; Pseudomonadati; Pseudomonadota; Gammaproteobacteria; Enterobacterales; Enterobacteriaceae. The record is from RNAcentral.